Molecule: ribosomal RNA, 373 nt
Filed under: uncultured Bacteroidota bacterium
Lineage: Bacteria; Pseudomonadati; Bacteroidota
Description: bacterial SSU rRNA
Rfam family: Bacterial small subunit ribosomal RNA
Source: RNAcentral
UAAUACGGAGGAUCCAAGCGUUAUCCGGAUUUAUUGGGUUUAAAGGGUUCGUAGGCGGAAAAUUAAGUCAGUGGUGAAAUCCUACAGCUUAACUGUAGAACUGCCAUUGAUACUGGUUUUCUUGAGUACAAAUGAGGUGGGCGGAAUGUGGCAUGUAGCGAUGAAAUGUAUAGAUAUGCCACAGAACACCAAUUGCGAAGGCAGCUCACUAAAAUGUAACUGACGCUGAGGAACGAAAGCGUGGGGAGCGAACGGGAUUAGAUACCCCGGUAGUCCACGCCGUAAACGAUGAUCACUCGAUGUUGGCGAUAUACUGUCAGCGUCCAAGCGAAAGCGUUAAGUGAUCCACCUGGGGGGUACGGUCGCAAGAUUG